This 286-nucleotide long non-coding RNA is filed under the name Homo sapiens (human). Its description in RNAcentral is "HSALNT0295024". The record is from RNAcentral. Lineage: Eukaryota; Metazoa; Chordata; Mammalia; Primates; Hominidae.
GGGCUUCCUCCCAGCUGUAAAUUGGCUUAUACGCCAGAUCUCGCUGAGCCUUCUUGUAAGAGAAGGUGAACACACUAUUUGAUAAUGUGACUGUGUGGCGGUUGAAGGGGGGUUGAUAGGAGUAAAUUGGGCUGAGUAGGAAGCUCACUACUUCCAGCAGGAAGCCAAUCCAGUACAUCAGGGUUAAAGGAAGGCUCCAUCUGGAAUCAAGGUUAUCAUAGCUUUGGUGAGGCGUGUCAUCUGAGAUGUAAUAGAAUUGACCUCGGACACUUGGGGCCUUCUUGGG